RNAcentral lists this ribosomal RNA (253 nucleotides) under uncultured bacterium. RNAcentral's name for it is "partial 16S ribosomal RNA". It matches the Rfam family "Bacterial small subunit ribosomal RNA", at positions 524 to 776 of the family's 1533-position model. The record is from RNAcentral.
UACAGAGGUCUCAAGCGUUGUUCGGAUUCAUUGGGCGUAAAGGGUGCGUAGGCGGCAUGGUAAGUCGGAUGUGAAAUCCCGGGGCUUAACCCCGGAACUGCAUUCGAUACUGCUGAGCUAGAGUACUGGAGAGGAGAUUGGAAUUUACGGUGUAGCAGUGAAAUGCGUAGAUAUCGUAAGGAAGACCAGUGGCGAAGGCGGAUCUCUGGACAGGUACUGACACUGAGGCACGAAGGCCAGGGGAGCAAACGGG